UACGUAGGGGGCAAGCGUUGUCCGGAAUCAUUGGGCGUAAAGAGCGUGUAGGCGGCUCGGUAAGUCCGCUGUAAAAGUCCAGGGCUCAACCCUGGAAAGCCGGUGGAAACUGUCGAGCUAGAGUCCGGAAGAGGCGAGUGGAAUUCCUGGUGUAGCGGUGAAAUGCGCAGAUAUCAGGAGGAACACCAGUGGCGAAGGCGGCCGGCUGGGGGCGCCCUGACGCUGAGAAGCGAAAGCAUGGGGAGCGAACAGG
Molecule: ribosomal RNA, 253 nt
Filed under: uncultured bacterium
Lineage: Bacteria
Description: partial 16S ribosomal RNA
Rfam family: Bacterial small subunit ribosomal RNA
Source: RNAcentral